Molecule: unclassified non-coding RNA, 2090 nt
Filed under: Gigantopelta aegis
Lineage: Eukaryota; Metazoa; Mollusca; Gastropoda; Neomphalida; Peltospiridae
Description: carboxylesterase 5A-like, transcript variant X2
Source: RNAcentral
GGAUUACUAGCCGAAAGACGCAGAUUGUAUACGUGGAGAUAACAGCUGUAAAACAGACUUAAGAAACUUCAAAAUCUUGUUUAUAGGGCUCUACAUUCCUGCAACUCAACACAGACGAUGCUUUGAGACUAAUCUAGAAGUAGAAGAAGAAAAAAGAUUAUAAAAAUGUAUUCAAUGCUUAACUGUGCUGUGGCGUUUCAGACUCUUUGCGCUGUCUGUGUUCUAAGUCACAAACCCAUUGUAAAGACAUCAAAAGGAUCAGUUCGAGGAUUCGCCAAGAAUGUCAAUGGCGUCCAUAUGUCUAUCUUUCUGGGCAUUCCAUACGCAAAACCUCCCACGGAGAUGCUCAGAUUCAAGCCUCCGGAAUCACCCGACAGCUGGAAUUCCUCUGGUAUCAUGAACGCGACUCUUUCGAAACCUUCCUGUCCCCAGAACAAGGACGGACUCUCAAACGCGUUCGGGCCAGGCUUUGAAAUUACGGAAACGAACGAAGACUGUCUGUAUCUAAAUAUCUUUGUUCCAGGGACAUCGAGAAAUUCCCAGUUCGGUUCUUGGGCUGUGGUAGUGUUUCUACACGGCGGGGAUUUCCAAAUGGGAUCCGGGACACUCUACGAUGGCACUGUUUUAGCGUCAUAUGGAAACGUGAUUGUCGUCACGAUGAACUUCCGUAUCGGGGUUCUGGGUUUUCUAUCAACAGAAGACCCGGCUGCCCCCGGUAACUGGGGUUUGUUAGAUCAAAGGUUGGCUCUGCAGUGGAUACAAGACAACAUACACGGAUUUGGGGGAGCUAGAAAGAAGGUGACGAUUUUCGGGCAUGGGUCCGGAGCUUACAGUGUCGGACUACACAUUCUGAGUCCGAUGUCACGUGGUCUGUUCGCACGAGCUAUAUCUCUGGGCGGGGCAAUAGCCUCACCGGCUCUGUUGAACACAGAUCUUAGAAUGAGGGUCAGACAUUUGGCGAUGAUGGUCGACUGUCCGUCUGUGAUAAAAGACGAGGUCUCGUCGGAGAAGGUCGUGUCCUGUCUGAGGAAAGUUCCAGUUCCAGAUCUCAUCAGACACGACCAGCACUCUGACGGAGCAUUUACGCCAACGGUUGACAACCAUUUCAUACUACGUGACCCAGUCACCAUAUUGAAAUCCACAAACUUUACUGCUGUAGACUACAUCAUUGGUGGAAACGCAGACGAAGGGACAAAUAUUGCUAACAAUAUACAAAACUUUUUCACUGGUCCUGGAAUGAGUCAGUCGGAUUUUGACAAAUAUACAUCCAGCAUCUCAUCCUUAGCACUUAAAAAGCCAAUACCAAAAAUUGUUGAACCAACAUUAGCAGCAAUGAUCUCGUCAAAGUAUUAUCCAAGGGAGGUAAAUCAUGGCAACUUCCGAAGAUCCUAUUUGGAUGCUUUAGGAGAUGUUAUGAACAGCAAGAUAUUUGAGACUGGAAUGUAUUACUCGAAGAGGGGGAAAGUUUUCGUCUAUCAGUUCACACACAAGCCAUCGCACGCUCGUUUCCCUAGUUACGUGGGGCCGGGCCACACCGAGGAACUUCCGUUCAUCUUCGGUUACAUUUUGAAGAACGGAACAGACAACGAGAAGAAGCUGUCAGCGGAUUGGAUGAAAACCUGGGGAGACUUUGCCAGGACAGGGAAUCCCAAUUUCAACAACGGCAGUCUCGUCUGGACGCCCUAUGGCUCCCCAUCGCGGAGUUAUUUACAAAUAACGGUGAACAUGACGAACCAAAAUAUCAACAGCGAGUGGAAACCUGGCGCCAGGAGAUUUUGGAACGAGGCUGUACCGGAAGUCGCCAAGCUGACGAGGAGUACUCCCAAAAUGCCUGUCAUGAAAUGUAAUUCACAUCUAUCCAUUGGGACGUUUAUCUCUUCCGUCGGGCUAUUUAGUACAAACCGAUCAAAACGUAGUAAAUAAUAAACCAAGCAACAUAUGAACUGGAAGGUACUGCAUUUUGCUGUGUUCACGAUUACUCAGAGCGCUCUGUGCGAUCAUCUUGCAACGAUCUGCGACGUUAUGUGACCAUAGACACAUUUUAUGGUAACCAUGAAGAUAAUUUGAACUGGGGAUUAUCUGCUAAUGCG